CGAGCGAAUCGAUGGGAGCUUGCUCCCUGAGAUUAGCGGCGGACGGGUGAGUAACACGUGGGCAACCUGCCUAUAAGACUGGGAUAACUUCGGGAAACCGGAGCUAAUACCGGAUACGUUCUUUUCUCGCAUGAGAGAAGAUGGAAAGACGGUUUACGCUGUCACUUAUAGAUGGGCCCGCGGCGCAUUAGCUAGUUGGUGAGGUAAUGGCUCACCAAGGCGACGAUGCGUAGCCGACCUGAGAGGGUGAUCGGCCACACUGGGACUGAGACACGGCCCAGACUCCUACGGGAGGCAGCAGUAGGGAAUCUUCCGCAAUGGACGAAAGUCUGACGGAGCAACGCCGCGUGAACGAAGAAGGCCUUCGGGUCGUAAAGUUCUGUUGUUAGGGAAGAACAAGUACCAGAGUAACUGCUGGUACCUUGACGGUACCUAACCAGAAAGCCACGGCUAACUACGUGCCAGCAGCCGCGGUAAUACGUAGGUGGCAAGCGUUGUCCGGAAUUAUUGGGCGUAAAGCGCGCGCAGGUGGUUCCUUAAGUCUGAUGUGAAAGCCCACGGCUCAACCGUGGAGGGUCAUUGGAAACUGGGAACUUGAGUGCAGAAGAGGAAGUGAAUUCCAAGUGUAGCGGUGAAAUGCGUAGAGAUUUGGAGGACACCAGU
RNAcentral lists this ribosomal RNA (663 nucleotides) under Bacillus sp. Al-Dhabi-21. RNAcentral describes it as "bacterial SSU rRNA". It matches the Rfam family "Bacterial small subunit ribosomal RNA", at positions 63 to 713 of the family's 1533-position model. The record is from RNAcentral. Lineage: Bacteria; Bacillati; Bacillota; Bacilli; Caryophanales; Bacillaceae.